This 353-nucleotide ribosomal RNA is filed under the name uncultured bacterium. RNAcentral describes it as "partial 16S ribosomal RNA". It matches the Rfam family "Bacterial small subunit ribosomal RNA", at positions 338 to 689 of the family's 1533-position model. The record is from RNAcentral.
CCUACGGGUGGCAGCAGUGAGGAAUAUUGGUCAAUGGGCGCGAGCCUGAACCAGCCAAGUCGCGUGAGGGAAGACGGUCCUAUGGAUUGUAAACCUCUUUUGUCGGGGAGCAAAAGACGCCACGCGUGGCGUUCCGAGAGUACCUGAAGAAAAAGCAUCGGCUAACUCCGUGCCAGCAGCCGCGGUACUACGGAGGAUGCGAGCGUUAUCCGGAUUUAUUGGGUUUAAGGGGUGCGCAGACGGAAGAUCAAGUCAGCGGUAAAAUUGAGGGGCUCAACCCCUUCGGGACGUUGAAACUGGUUUUCUUGAGUGAGUGAGAAGAAUGCGGAAGGCGUGUGGUAGCGGGGAAAGGC